AAAUCUUUGAUGAUGUCAUUCUAAAGAGCAUAAAUGAGAAAAUUUCUAGUCCAAAUCGUACAACUAAAACAAGUCUCAAAAAGACUGUUUCUUAUUCUUACCAUUUCUUAUAAGAAACAAUAUGAUAAAGACUGACACAACAUCCAUGGUAUUCUGCUAAAACAUCAACUUUGAAUGGGAAACUGAAGCACAGAAACAUUGAAAUGACAAUUAAGACAAAACCACCACUUGCAGACAUGCAUCUGCAAAUUGUAUGUGCAAAGUUUUGACACGGAAUCGAAGGCCACGGCUGCUAUAAAGCUGUCUCAUGUAUAUGAGACGACCGACCCUAGAUCUCGGGUAAGUCUUUGCUUCGUAAUCCGAGGCCAUAUGUAAUAGUAUAGUAUAGUAUAAUUGUAUAUAAACAUGCAUUCCGUACGUCGUAUGUGUUUCCAGGACAGGGUUCCUUUGCCUCUGCUGUUGCCAUUUCCCCCGUAAAGAUAACUUAGAUUUAUUACUUUUAUUUUUAUCCUCCUUAUCUUUCAGGCCUAAGUGGUCCAUCUUCUCUGAAAAUGACCUUAUUAUAUGACAUCACUAUAUUUAUCUGAAGAUUUGAAGAUAAAACAGACUUAUUGCUUGCUUUUUCUUUUUCCUUUCCAAAGAACCGAAUCUUAUGAUCC
RNAcentral lists this long non-coding RNA (659 nucleotides) under Ricinus communis (castor bean). RNAcentral's name for it is "long non-coding RNA (RCOM_LNC000117)". The record is from RNAcentral. Lineage: Eukaryota; Viridiplantae; Streptophyta; Magnoliopsida; Malpighiales; Euphorbiaceae.